This 603-nucleotide ribosomal RNA is filed under the name uncultured Wolbachia sp. RNAcentral describes it as "bacterial SSU rRNA". It matches the Rfam family "Bacterial small subunit ribosomal RNA", at positions 94 to 732 of the family's 1533-position model. Lineage: Bacteria; Pseudomonadati; Pseudomonadota; Alphaproteobacteria; Rickettsiales; Anaplasmataceae. The record is from RNAcentral.
AGUGGCAGACGGGUGAGUAAUGUAUAGGAAUCUACCUAGUAGUACGGAAUAAUUGUUGGAAACGGCAACUAAUACCGUAUACGCCCUACGGGGGAAAAAUUUAUUGCUAUUAGAUGAGCCUAUAUUAGAUUAGUUAGUUGGUGAGGUAAAGGCUUACCAAGACAAUGAUCUAUAGCUGAUCUGAGAGGAUGAUCAGCCACACUGGAACUGAGAUACGGUCCAGACUCCUACGGGAGGCAGCAGUGGGGAAUAUUGGACAAUGGGCGAAAGCCUGAUCCAGCCAUGCCGCAUGAGUGAAGAAGGCCUUCGGGUUGUAAAGCUCUUUUAGUGAGGAAGAUAAUGACGGUACUCACAGAAGAAGUCCUGGCUAACUCUGUGCCAGCAGCCGCGGUAAUACGGAGAGGGCUAGCGUUAUUCGGAAUCAUUGGGCGUAAAGGGCGCGUAGGCGGGUUAAUAAGUUAAAAGUGAGAUCCCAAGGCUCAACCUUGGAACUGCUUUUAAAACUGCUAGUCUAGAGAUUGAAAGAGGAUAGAGGAAUUCCUAGUGUAGAGGUGAAAUUCGUAAAUAUUAGGAGGAACACCAGUGGCGAANGNGUCUAUCUGG